GAGGGUAUAGCUUUGUGGUAGAGUGCGUGUCUAGCAUGCUUAGGGUCUUGGGUUCAAUCCCCAGUACUUCCA
This 72-nucleotide transfer RNA is filed under the name Camelus bactrianus (Bactrian camel). It matches the Rfam family "tRNA". From Rfam's summary of the family: Transfer RNA (tRNA) molecules are approximately 80 nucleotides in length. Lineage: Eukaryota; Metazoa; Chordata; Mammalia; Artiodactyla; Camelidae. The record is from Rfam by way of RNAcentral. RNAcentral also lists the same sequence under 2 other names.